Molecule: ribosomal RNA, 495 nt
Filed under: uncultured bacterium
Lineage: Bacteria
Description: partial 16S ribosomal RNA
Rfam family: Bacterial small subunit ribosomal RNA
Source: RNAcentral
GACGAACGCUGGCGGCGUGCCUAAUACAUGCAAGUAGAACGCUGAAGGCGGAGCUUGCUCUUCUGGAUGAGUUGCGAACGGGUGAGUAACGCGUAGGUAACCUGCCUGGUAGCGGGGGAUAACUAUUGGAAACGAUAGCUAAUACCGCAUAAGAGUAGAUGUUGCAUGACGUUUACUUAAAAGGUGCAAUUGCGUCACUACCACAUGGUCCUGCCUUGUUUUUGCUAGUUGGUGGGGUAACGGCUUCCCCAGGCGACGAUCCAUAGACGAACGGAGAGGGUGAUCGGCGACACUGGGACGGGGACACGGCCCAUAGGCCUGCGGGAGGCAGCAGAAGGGAACCGUCGGCAAUGGACGGAAGUCUGACCGAGUAACGCCGCGCGAGAGAAGAAGGUUCUCGGAUGGUAAAGAUCGGUUGUAAGUGGAGAACGAGUGUGGGAAUGGAAAGUGCACACUGUGACGGUAUCUAAACAGAAAGGGACGGCUAACUACGUG